CGCGUAGGCGGGCCGUCAAGUCAGGGGUGAAAUCUUUCAGCUCAACUGGAAAAGUGCCUUUGAUACUGACGGCCUCGAGGGAGGUAGGGGCGUGCGGAACUUCCGGUGGAGCGGUGAAAUGCGUAGAUAUCGGAAGGAACGCCGGUGGCGAAAGCGGCGCGCUGGACCUCUUCUGACGCUGAGGCGCGAAAGCCAGGGGAGCAAACGGGAUUAGAUACCCCGGUAGUCCUGGCCCUAAACGAUGGGUACUAGGUAGUGGCCUGAACAUGGGGUCACUGCCGAAGCAAAAGUGUUAAGUACCCCGCCUGGGGAGUAUGGUCGCAAGGCUGAA
Molecule: ribosomal RNA, 331 nt
Filed under: uncultured bacterium
Lineage: Bacteria
Description: bacterial SSU rRNA
Rfam family: Bacterial small subunit ribosomal RNA
Source: RNAcentral